RNAcentral lists this ribosomal RNA (198 nucleotides) under uncultured bacterium. RNAcentral describes it as "partial 16S ribosomal RNA". It matches the Rfam family "Bacterial small subunit ribosomal RNA", at positions 328 to 539 of the family's 1533-position model. The record is from RNAcentral.
ACGCUCGACACCUACUGGAGGCAGCAGUGGGGAAUAUUGCACAAUGGGGGAAACCCUGAUGCAGCGACGCCGCGUGAGUGAAGAAGUAUUUCGGUAUGUAAAGCUCUAUCAGCAGGGAAGAAAAUGACGGUACCUGACUAAGAAGCCCCGGCUAACUACGUGCCAGCAGCCGCGGUAAUCUGAGCGGGCUGGCAAGGC